AUUAAACUGAAGAGUUUGAUCCUGGCUCAGAUUGAACGCUGGCGGUAUGCUUAACACAUGCAAGUCGAACGGAAACGAUGGUAGCUUGCUACCAGGCGUCGAGUGGCGGACGGGUGAGUAACGCGUAGGAAUCUGCCUGAUAGUGGGGGAUAGCCCAGAGAAAUCUGGAUUAAUACCGCAUAAUCUCUAUGGAGUAAAGGAGCCCUCUUCUUGAAAGGUUUCGCUAUCAGAUGAGCCUGCGUAAGAUUAGCUUGUUGGUGAGGUAAAAGCUCACCAAGGCGACGAUCUUUAGCUGGUCUGAGAGGA
RNAcentral lists this ribosomal RNA (306 nucleotides) under Gammaproteobacteria bacterium. Its description in RNAcentral is "partial 16S ribosomal RNA". It matches the Rfam family "Bacterial small subunit ribosomal RNA", at positions 1 to 300 of the family's 1533-position model. Lineage: Bacteria; Pseudomonadati; Pseudomonadota; Gammaproteobacteria. The record is from RNAcentral.